RNAcentral lists this ribosomal RNA (497 nucleotides) under uncultured bacterium. RNAcentral describes it as "bacterial SSU rRNA". It matches the Rfam family "Bacterial small subunit ribosomal RNA", at positions 899 to 1397 of the family's 1533-position model. The record is from RNAcentral.
ACUCAAAGGAAUUGACGGGUGCCCGCACAAGCAGUGGAGUAUGUGGAUUAAUUCGACGCAACGCGAAGAACCUUACCAGGGCUUGACAUCCUACUAACGAGGUAGAGAUACGUUAGGUGCCCUUCGGGGAAAGUAGAGACAGGUGGUGCAUGGUUGUCGUCAGCUCGUGUCGUGAGAUGUUGGGUUAAGUCCCGCAACGAGCGCAACCCUUAUCAUUAGUUGCUACGCAAGAGCACUCUAGUGAGACUGCCGUUGACAAAACGGAGGAAGGCGGGGACGAGGUCAAAUCAUCAUGCCCCUUAUGUCCUGGGCUUCACACGUACUACAAUGGCGGACAUACAACGGGAAGCGAAGCCGCGAGGUGGAGCAAAUCCCAAAAAAGCCGCCCCAGUUCAGAUUGCAGGCUGCAACUCGCCUGCAUGAAGUUGGAAUUGCUAGUAAUCGCGAAUCAGCAUGUCGCGGUGAAUACGUUCCCGGGCAUUGUACACACCGCCCGU